This 1242-nucleotide long non-coding RNA is filed under the name Takifugu rubripes (torafugu). RNAcentral describes it as "lncRNA (ENSTRUG00000032714.1)". The record is from RNAcentral. Lineage: Eukaryota; Metazoa; Chordata; Actinopteri; Tetraodontiformes; Tetraodontidae.
AAAUAUUCUGCGGGUGCAGCAAAUAUUCUGCGGGUGCAGCAAAUAUUCUGCGGGUGCAGCACGCCGUCUGCCUGGCUCACGCACUAAACUUGAUUGUCAAAAAGGCCAUGGAUGCUACUCCUGGGCUAGAUAAUAUAAGAUCAAAAACGAGGCGGAUGAUCACCUAUUUUAAAUCCAGCACCACCGCUAAAGAGAAGCUGCAGCAGAUCCAGGUGCAAAUGGGCCGUCCUGUCACAAAACUAAUAAUUGAAGUAGACACAAGAUGGAAUAGCACCUAUGAGACGCUGCAGCGUCUUUAUGAGCAGAGGGAUGCAGCUGCCGCUGCUCUGACCACUCUGCCCACAGCUUUGGACCUAUUGACUGCAGAUGACUUUGAGUGUGCAUCUGAGUGUAGGAAGAUACCGUCACCUUUUCAUGCUGCCGCCGUAGAGCUCUCACAUGAAACGAGGUGUCGGGAUCAAAAAUAACACCCCUGAUAAAAAUGCUGAAGCAUGCUUUGAGUGAGCUGAUGGCACAGAACUCAAACAAAAUGGCAAAAGACCUUGGCAUAAACCUCAAUAGAAUUAUGAAUGAAACUCAGUGGGAUAGAAACCACAAGCAUCUUCUCUUUAUCAUCAUUACUUGACCCAAGAUUUAAAACACUCGGAUUCCAAAGCCCUUCAAAUGCCGAGUCAGCUGUGCACCGGUUAAAAUCAGAGUGUGCGGCAUUGUUGCGUAAUGCACCCACCCAAGAGGACCCACCAUCCACUUCAACAGCACAGCCAGAACCAGCUGCUUCUUCCCAAGUCAUUGGUCUGUGGAAGCUGUUGGACAGGGAUGCUGAAGAAGCAAGAGCGUCCAGGAAUGCCACCGCUGAUGCCAUAGUGGAGGUGCAGCGUUAUCUGUCAGCCCCUCCACUUGAACGAUCACAGGACCCUCUGGUGUACUGGACGACAAACAAAGCCCUGUACCCAAACCUGUACCACCUGGCAAACCAGUACCUCGCAACACCAGCAUCCUCUGUGCCCUGCGAGAGGGUGUUUUCUAAAGCCGGGGAAAUAGUUUCAAAAAAGAGAAACCGCCUCAAACCCUCGACUGGAGAAACUGUUGUUUUUAAAUAAAAAUGCAUAAGCACACCAGUUCACCCAAGCACCUUAGGCCCAUACCCCCAUCUGUUCCUAAAAUAUAUAGAAAAAUAAUAUUAUAAUAAUAAUACAACAUCAAAAGUGCACAAACAGCAAAACUCAAAGUGCACGCUUGCUG